AAUUUGGAAUUUGGAAUUUGAUUAGAGCAACAAAGAUUUUUGAUUAUCGAGACAUUGGCCAGAAACCAAGUCUUGGAUUUUUAUGCUUGCAUAUGAUCUUCAUUAUGAAUGGUUACCUGGCAUUCUUGACUUAAAGUUUCUGAGCCACAUAGUAACUUUUAAAAUUGCUCCAGCCUUUUGCUUCAUUAAUGUGUAUAAAUUUGU
This 204-nucleotide long non-coding RNA is filed under the name Panax ginseng (ginseng). RNAcentral's name for it is "long non-coding RNA (PGIN_LNC002746)". Lineage: Eukaryota; Viridiplantae; Streptophyta; Magnoliopsida; Apiales; Araliaceae. The record is from RNAcentral.